Molecule: transfer RNA, 72 nt
Filed under: Camelus bactrianus (Bactrian camel)
Lineage: Eukaryota; Metazoa; Chordata; Mammalia; Artiodactyla; Camelidae
Also listed under: 2 other names
Rfam family: tRNA
About the family: Transfer RNA (tRNA) molecules are approximately 80 nucleotides in length. Their secondary structure includes four short double-helical elements and three loops (D, anti-codon, and T loops). Further hydrogen bonds mediate the characteristic L-shaped molecular structure. tRNAs have two regions of fundamental functional importance: the anti-codon, which is responsible for specific mRNA codon recognition, and the 3' end, to which the tRNAs corresponding amino acid is attached (by aminoacyl-tRNA synthetases). tRNAs cope with the degeneracy of the genetic code in two manners: having more than one tRNA (with a specific anti-codon) for a particular amino acid; and 'wobble' base-pairing, i.e. permitting non-standard base-pairing at the 3rd anti-codon position.
Source: Rfam by way of RNAcentral
GAGGGUAUAGUUCAGUGGUAGAGUGUUUGCCUAGCAUGCACAAGGUCCUGGGUUCAAUCCCCAGCACCACCA